AUUGAACGCUGGCGGCAUGCCUUACACAUGCAAGUCGAACGGCAGCACGGGGCAACCUGGUGGCGAGUGGCGAACGGGUGAGUAAUGCAUCGGAACGUGCCAUUGAGUGGGGGAUAACGUAGCGAAAGUUGCGCUAAUACCGCAUAUUCUGUGAGCAGGAAAGCAGGGGACCGCAAGGCCUUGCGCUCUUUGAGCGGCCGAUGUCAGAUUAGCUAGUUGGUGAGGUAACGGCCUACCAAGGCGACGAUCCGUAGCGGGUCUGAGAGGAUGAUCCGCCACACUGGGACUGAGACACGGCCCAGACUCCUACGGGAGGCAGCAGUGGGGAAUUUUGGACAAUGGGCGCAAGCCUGAUCCAGCCAUGCCGCGUGAGUGAAGAAGGCCUCGG
Molecule: ribosomal RNA, 388 nt
Filed under: uncultured bacterium
Lineage: Bacteria
Description: bacterial SSU rRNA
Rfam family: Bacterial small subunit ribosomal RNA
Source: RNAcentral